This 468-nucleotide ribosomal RNA is filed under the name uncultured bacterium. RNAcentral describes it as "partial 16S ribosomal RNA". It matches the Rfam family "Bacterial small subunit ribosomal RNA", at positions 28 to 507 of the family's 1533-position model. The record is from RNAcentral.
GAUGAACGCUGGCGGCGUGCUUAACACAUGCAAGUCGAACGGAAAGGCCAGUGCUUGCACUGGUACUCGAGUGGCGAACGGGUGAGUAACACGUGGGUGAUCUGCCCUGCACUUCGGGAUAAGCCUGGGAAACUGGGUCUAAUACCGGAUAGGACAAUGGGUUGGAUGCCGUUGUGGAAAGUUUUUUCGGUGUGGGAUGAGCUCGCGGCCUAUCAGCUUGUUGGUGGGGUAAUGGCCUACCAAGGCGUCGCCGGGUAGCCGGCAUGAGAGGGUGUACGGCCACAUUAGGACUGAGAUACGGCCCAGACUCCGACGGGAGGCAGCAGGGGGGAAUAUUGCACAAUGGGCGCAAGCCUGAUGCAGCGACGCCGCGUGGGGGAUGACGGCCUUCGGGUUGUAAACUCCUUUCGCUAGGGACGAAGCGUAUUUGUGACGGUACCUGGAGAAGAAGCACCGGCUAACUACGUG